RNAcentral lists this ribosomal RNA (483 nucleotides) under uncultured bacterium. RNAcentral describes it as "partial 16S ribosomal RNA". It matches the Rfam family "Bacterial small subunit ribosomal RNA", at positions 28 to 507 of the family's 1533-position model. The record is from RNAcentral.
GACGAACGCUGGCGGCGUGCUUAACACAUGCAAGUCGAACGCUGAAGCUCCGCUUUUGUUGUGUGGAUGAGUGGCGCACGGGUGUGUCACACGUGUGUACCCUGCCCCCUUCUUUGGGAUCACGCCCGGAAACGGGUGCUAAUACUGGAUAUUCACUUGUCUUCGCGUGGGGGUUGGUGGGAAUGGGUUUUCUGGUGGGGGAUGGGCUCGCGGCCUAUCAGCUUGUUGGUGGGGUGAUGGCCUAGCAAUGCUUUGUCGGGUAGCCGGCGUGAUGGGGUGCUCGGUGAGAGUGGGGCUGAGAUGGGGCCGAGACUCGUACGGGAGGCAGAAGGGGGGAAGAUGGCACAAUGGGUGCAAGAUGGAUGGAGCGACGACGCGUGAGGGAUGGGGGCCUGAGGGUUGUGAACCUCUUGCGCUCAUGGUUAAGCCGUAACAAUGGUUGGGGUGAGGGUAGUGGGUAAAGAAGCGCCGGCUAACUACGUG